CUUUCUUUCCAAAAAAAAAUUAUGGUAUUGCACCAAGGGCUCUCAUAGAAAUAAUGCUUAUAAAAUUUUUUGAGCAUAUAUAUAUUGCUCAUAUUUGCUUGUUGAUUAGCUAUGCUCCCAUUAAGACUCUGACUGAAAUAAACUAUAAAAUGUGGAAACAUGAAAUUAAGCUAGAACUGUAUUUGAUGGAAUUUGGAUAUUGCAUUGAAUAAUGA
Molecule: long non-coding RNA, 215 nt
Filed under: Elaeis guineensis (African oil palm)
Lineage: Eukaryota; Viridiplantae; Streptophyta; Magnoliopsida; Arecales; Arecaceae
Description: long non-coding RNA (EGUI_LNC010279)
Source: RNAcentral